Lactarius indigo is the source of this 98-nucleotide non-coding RNA. The record is from the annotation of a GenBank genome assembly. Lineage: Eukaryota; Fungi; Basidiomycota; Agaricomycetes; Russulales; Russulaceae.
GCCCGCCUAGCUCAAUCGGAUAGAGCGUCAGACUCUUAGGCAGGUGUUAAUCAUACUCUGUAAUCUGAAGGCUGCGAGUUCGACCCUCGCGGUGGGCU